UGCUGGAGGUAUCAGAAGUGCGAAUGCUGACGUGAGUAACGACAAAACGGGUGAAAAACCCGUUCGCCGAAAGACCAAGGGUUCCAGUCCAACGUUAAUCGGGGCUGGGUGAGUCGACCCCUAAGGCGAGGCCGAAAGGCGUAGUCGAUGGGAAAAUGGUUAAUAUUCCAUUACUUCUGUGUAAUGCGAUGAGAGGACGGAGAAGGCUAAAUCAGCCUGGCGUUGGUUGUCCAGGUGAAAGGAUGUAGGCAUGUAUCUUAGGCAAAUCCGGGGUACUCUAUGCUGAGAUCUGAUAGCAAGCUGUACUUGUACAGCGAAGUGGUUGAUGCCAUGCUUCCAGGAAAAGUCUCUAAGCUUCAGUUACACAGGAAUCGUACCCGAAACCGACACAGGUGGUCAGGUCGAGUAGACCAAGGCGCUUGAGAGAACUCUGCUGAAGGAACUAGGCAAAAUGGUACCGUAACUUCGGGAGAAGGUACGCUGUUGUUGGUGAUGGAACUCGCUUCCUGAGCUGACGACAGCCGCAGAAACCAGGCCGCUGCAACUGUUUAUUAAAAACAUAGCACUCUGCAAACACGAAAGUGGACGUAUAGGGUGUGAUGCCUGCCCGGUGCUGGAAGGUUAAUUGAUGGGGUUAGCGUAAGCGAAGCUCUUGAUCGAAGCCCCAGUAAACGGCGGCCGUAACUAUAACGGUCCUAAGGUAGCGAAAUUCCUUGUCGGGUAAGUUCCGACCUGCACGAAUGGCAUAAUGAUGGCGGCGCUGUCUCCAGCAGAGGCUCAGUGAAAUCGAAAUCGCUGUGAAGAUGCAGUGUACCCGCGGCUAGACGGAAAGACCCCGUGAACCUUUACUGCAGCUUGACACUGAACUUUGACCUUACUUGUGUAGGAUAGGUGGGAGGCUUUGAAGCUGGAACGCUAGUUCCAGUGGAGCCGUCCUUGAAAUACCACCCUGGUAAUGUUGAGGUUCUAACUCUGUCCCGUGAUCCGGGACGAGGACCGUGUCUGGUGGGUAGUUUGACUGGGGCGGUCUCCUCCUAAAGAGUAACGGAGGAGUACGAAGGUGCGCUCAGCGUGGUCGGAAAUCACGCGUAGAGUAUAAAGGCAAAAGCGCGCUUAACUGCGAGACCCACAAGUCGAGCAGGUACGAAAGUAGGUCUUAGUGAUCCGGUGGUUCUGUAUGGAAGGGCCAUCGCUCAACGGAUAAAAGGUACUCUGGGGAUAACAGGCUGAUACCGCCCAAGAGUUCAUAUCGACGGCGGUGUUUGGCACCUCGAUGUCGGCUCAUCUCAUCCUGGGGCUGAAGCAGGUCCCAAGGGUAUGGCUGUUCGCCAUUUAAAGAGGUACGCGAGCUGGGUUUAGAACGUCGUGAGACAGUUCGGUCCCUAUCUACCGUGGGCGCUGGAAAUUUGAGAGGAUCUGCUCCUAGUACGAGAGGACCAGAGUGGACGAACCUCUGGUGUACCGGUUGUGACGCCAGUCGCAUCGCCGGGUAGCUAUGUUCGGAAGGGAUAACCGCUGAAAGCAUCUAAGCGGGAAGCCUACCUCAAGAUAAGAUUUCCCUAGGACUUUAUGUCCUCUAAAGAGCCGUUCGAGACUAGGACGUUGAUAGGUUGGAUGUGGAAGCAUAGUGAUAUGUGAAGCUGACCAAUACUAAUUGCUCGUGAGGCUUGACUAUACAACACCCAAGCAGUUG
RNAcentral lists this ribosomal RNA (1693 nucleotides) under Acinetobacter baumannii. Its description in RNAcentral is "bacterial LSU rRNA". It matches the Rfam family "Bacterial large subunit ribosomal RNA", at positions 1271 to 2925 of the family's 2925-position model. RNAcentral also lists the same sequence under 1 other name. The record is from RNAcentral. Lineage: Bacteria; Pseudomonadati; Pseudomonadota; Gammaproteobacteria; Moraxellales; Moraxellaceae.